This 253-nucleotide ribosomal RNA is filed under the name uncultured bacterium. Its description in RNAcentral is "partial 16S ribosomal RNA". It matches the Rfam family "Bacterial small subunit ribosomal RNA", at positions 524 to 776 of the family's 1533-position model. The record is from RNAcentral. RNAcentral also lists the same sequence under 1 other name.
UACGUAGGGGGCAAGCGUUGUCCGGAAUCAUUGGGCGUAAAGAGCGCGUAGGCGGCCCGACAAGUCCGCUGUGAAAGUCAGGGGCUCAACCCUUGAAUGCCGGUGGAUACUGUCGGGCUAGAGUCCGGAAGAGGCGAGUGGAAUUCCUGGUGUAGCGGUGAAAUGCGCAGAUAUCAGGAGGAACACCAAUGGCGAAGGCAGCUCGCUGGGACGGUACUGACGCUGAGGCGCGAAAGCGUGGGGAGCAAACAGG